AAAACUUCAAACACCGCUCAUAUAGUUUCACAUUUUUUCACUUUAAUACUCAAUAAUUUAAAGUGUAUCGAUUUAACAUCUGUAGUUUUAUUUUUAUUUUUUUAUUAUUAAUUUUAUUAAUUUUUUUGUUAAAUCAGUGAUAAAGUUAAAUCUAAAAUGUACUAAAAUAAAUAUUCGAUAAAUCUAGAUGAAAUAUUUUAAAUUUUUUGUAUGUAUUUUAACGAAAUAUUAACGGAGAAACUGACGAAAAGAUAAAAAUGAAAUCAUAUGACACUAAUAUUACUACAACAAAAACGGUCUAUAGCGACACUUUUAAAUGUAAGUACAUGUCAAAAAAAUGCUGCUAGCUAAAAUUACCGACACUUUUAAAAAGUGUUGCUAUAUGUGGGGUCGCUAGGUAUAUAGUGACAGUUAAAGAGUGUCGCUAUAACUUAAAAGAGUGCUGCUAAUUUACCAACACUUAUUUAAGUAUUUAGCAACUGCCGAAACUCUAUCUCGUUGGCUACGGUGGCGGAGGAGAACAACAGGAAAGACUCUUCGUCUAGAAUUUCAGUGGAUUGAGUGAAGAGAGAAGAAAAGAUGACAAUUGAUUUUUCUUUUCUGUUUGUAAUCGGACCAAAUGGACUGAGUGUGGUGGGUUGAGUAGAGUAAUUUUUUAUUUUUGGUUGGAUUGGGCUUUAUAUUUAGGCAUUAGUAGAUGUUUUUUUUAAGUUUUAGUAUAAAUGGGGCACUUACUCAAAAGUGUCCCAAACAUGUGUCCCUAUAACCUAAUUCUGUUGUAGUAAAUUUAAUACGCUUUAAACCACAGGGUACUAAAGUGAGAAAGUGCAAAACCAUAGGGGUGGUAUCUGAAGUUUAUCCUAUAAAAAAAUAGAGCCCGCUGAUGUAGCGCUUCUACGUGCUAUUAAAUUAUUUUUAAUGUUGUGGUAUUCGAAUCGAUGAUCGGUUCUAUUAAAUUCUAUCUGUACUAUUAAAAAUAUUUAAAAGUUAAAUUUUAUAAUUUUUAAUAUUAUUUAUUUAUCAAAUGAGUGGUCUAAAAUAAAUUGUUGAAAAUAAAAAUCUAAAAAAAAUAAUGAUAAAAGACUUGAAUUUAUGAUCAGAUAUAUCGAUCUUACUCUAAAUAGUAAAAAAAAUUUCUAUAAAAAAUUUAAUAAAUUUGAAUUAUUUUACACCGUUAAUUCAUAAACACAUAUCAUAUCGGCCAUUAAAAUCACUAGUCAAAUAAUGUCGAAAGAAUAUGAAAAUUUGUUUCUAAAUAUUUUCAAUAGCGUAAAUCAUUUCUAACGAAGCUGAUCGUCAAUUUGGAAGCCGCAUCAUCGAAAAUAACUUGGUAGCACGAAGGCUAUCAUGCUAUCGAUAGUAUAUAUAGUAGCCGGAUUAUAAAAAUUUAUAUAUUAUAUAUACGAAUCCAGCUACUAUCCUUUUAGAAGAAUAGAGAUCUUCGUCCAUCUAAAUCGUCUUAGAUGAUAGUGAUUCUGAAUUAAUAAACAAAACCGUUAAAAUUAAUCUAAAGUAAUUAAUACGUUUAGAAACCAAAUUUCAUCGAUUUUAAAAAUUAUUUACAUUGUGAUUAAAGAAACACAAAAUCGACAGUUCUUAACGGUCUAUAUAAGUCGUUUGCUUAUUUAAUAUUGUAACACCACUUGAAUUUUUGAUAGAAAACUUUUUAUAUUGUUUAGAUAACGUUUGAUAACUUCGAUCAUGAAUUAAGAAAGUCGAACCUUUAUUUUUACAAGGUUAUUUAUUUUUUAUCAUUUAUUUUUCAACUCUUCAAUUGAUUUGAUAAUAAUUUUUAAAAAUUAAAAUAUUCGAUUUCUAAGUAUUUCUAAUAGUACAGAUCA
This 1841-nucleotide long non-coding RNA is filed under the name Ananas comosus (pineapple). RNAcentral describes it as "long non-coding RNA (ACOM_LNC016095)". Lineage: Eukaryota; Viridiplantae; Streptophyta; Magnoliopsida; Poales; Bromeliaceae. The record is from RNAcentral.